UACGUAGGGGGCCAGCGUUGCUCGGAAUUACUGGGCGUAAAGGGUUCGUAGGCGGUGCGGCAAGUUGGGAGUGAAAUCUCUGGGCUUAACCCAGAGGCUGCUUUCAAAACUGCCGUGCUCGAGUGCGGGAGAGGCCAGUGGAAUUGCAGGUGUAGCGGUGAAAUGCGUAGAUAUCUGCAGGAACACCCGAGGCGAAAGCGGCUCGCUGGGUCGCAACUGAUGCUGAGGGACGAAAGCUAGGGGAGCAAACAGG
This 253-nucleotide ribosomal RNA is filed under the name uncultured bacterium. RNAcentral's name for it is "partial 16S ribosomal RNA". It matches the Rfam family "Bacterial small subunit ribosomal RNA", at positions 524 to 776 of the family's 1533-position model. The record is from RNAcentral.